CACCUUGCUGUCCUGUAGCCAUCUGGU
Molecule: non-coding RNA, 27 nt
Filed under: Mus musculus (house mouse)
Lineage: Eukaryota; Metazoa; Chordata; Mammalia; Rodentia; Muridae
Source: RNAcentral